GUUGGUCUGGUCGCUGAGCAGUUUGGAGCAGUCUGCGAUCACACAGAUUUCGUAUUUCUCCGUGGGUGAGAAAUAUCUGCGUAGAGGAAUCGUGCAGGCCGCGGAAAUCGAGCAGGGGAGAACGAAGGCACGUGAAGGUGCAUGUGAGGUGACAGCUGGGUGAAUUUCUAAUGUGACGCAGCACGCCACAGAAAAGCAUUAUAAGCCACUACCGUUGUUUAUCCAGGGGGUUAAGUGCUCACACCAAUUUAUUUGUACUGUGUUUAAUUAAUUAAUUAAUUUUAUUUUAUUUUUUGUUACUGUGGGGCUAUCCUUGUAAAGGGAAAAAAAGGGGAAUUGGCGAAACUGGCCUGAAGUUAUUUCGGUAACUGUGAGCACUAUUUGAAGUGCUUAUAUUUUUGGAUUUGUUUCUUUAUACCUUUGGGGAAGCGUGCUUUUGGUUGUGUUUAUUCUUCACUGUAUACAUUUCAUCGGCACAACUCCCCUCAAUUGAAAACCUUGAGUAUUAAUGCCGCGUCUUCUGCAUACGCGGUCGGAA
Molecule: long non-coding RNA, 538 nt
Organism: Sinocyclocheilus rhinocerous
Lineage: Eukaryota; Metazoa; Chordata; Actinopteri; Cypriniformes; Cyprinidae
Exons: 3
Source: RefSeq, a predicted model, not a curated record